This 442-nucleotide ribosomal RNA is filed under the name uncultured bacterium. RNAcentral describes it as "partial 16S ribosomal RNA". It matches the Rfam family "Bacterial small subunit ribosomal RNA", at positions 338 to 795 of the family's 1533-position model. The record is from RNAcentral.
CCUACGGGGGGCUGCAGUGGGGAAUAUUGGGCAAUGGACGCAAGUCUGACCCAGCAACGCCGCGUGAAGGAAGAAGGCUUUCGGGUUGUAAACUUCUUUUAAGGGGGAAGAGCAGAAGACGGUACCCCUUGAAUAAGCCACGGCGAACUACGUGCCAGCAGCCGCGGUAAUACGUAGGUGGCAAGCGUUGUCCGGAUUUACUGGGUGUAAAGGGCGUGCAGCCGGUGAGACAAGUCAGGAGUGAAAUCCACGGGCUCAACCCGGGAACUGCUUUUGAAACUAUUUCCCUUGAGUGUCGGAGAGGUAAGCGGAAUUCCUAGUGUAGCGGUGAAAUGCGUAGAUAUAAGGAGGAACACCGGUGGCGAAGGCGGAUUACUGGACGAUAACUGACGGUGAGGCGCGAAAGUGUGGGGAGCAAACAGGAUUAGAUACCCGUGUAGUC